Molecule: long non-coding RNA, 747 nt
Organism: Arabidopsis lyrata subsp. lyrata
Lineage: Eukaryota; Viridiplantae; Streptophyta; Magnoliopsida; Brassicales; Brassicaceae
Exons: 2
Source: RefSeq, a predicted model, not a curated record
AACCAGAGGUCGCACCGCCGAUCUCGCCAGCCGUUGUCUCCGGCGUCUCGCCCUCGCAAUCGGUUUGUUCUCCUCUCUCUUACGCCAUUAUAAAACUUAGAGAUUCUUUCUUAGUUCCUCAAUCUUCCGAUGGAUAUCAACAAUAAUCACCACCGCUCCGACGACGACGACAACGCUCCGACGACGACGACAACGCUCUCUCAGUCACCGGAUGUCCUGCAUAAACGAUUCGAAGUUUCAGAUCAUUGUCAAAGAUGUGAUCUCAAGAUGGAUCAUCACAGUCUUUGGAUUUUUAAUUGUGAUGCCACUAAAGACGCCCAUGGAAUCUGCUUGUUAAUUGAGUGGGAUGAAUGUAAGACGCUUGACUAUGAGAGGAUUUUUGAAAAGAUGCAGAAACCAGCGUUUGUCUUUGAUGGUAUAGAAAUGUUGUUGAUGUAGAGAAGCUGGGGAAGAUAGGAUUUAUUGUUUACUCUAUUGGUAAGUCAUUGGACCAAUGGAUCAAGGAUAUGCAUGCUCUUGCUUAGAUUUGAGUAUUUGCCCAUUCUCAAGAUUUGGAAUGUUUUUGGGUUAUAUCAAAUACUUUGUUAUGUUUCUACAAAGUGACGAAAUAUUUUCCAAUACUUUAUAAAUGUUGGUUAGAUAGAGAGAAUAAAUUUGGUUAUUAUAUUAUUGCUAACGACGUUAUACUUUGAGUAUCAAAUUUGUAAGCUUCUCAUGCAUUUUCAUAUAUAAAGCUUUUACUGAUUA